Molecule: ribosomal RNA, 253 nt
Filed under: uncultured bacterium
Lineage: Bacteria
Description: partial 16S ribosomal RNA
Rfam family: Bacterial small subunit ribosomal RNA
Source: RNAcentral
CACGUAGGGUGCGAGCGUUGUCCGGAAUUAUUGGGCGUAAAGAGCUCGUAGGCGGUGUGUCGCGUCGGCCGUGAAAACCUGCAGCUUAACUGUGGCGUGCGGUCGAUACGGGCAUCACUGGAGUUCGGCAGGGGAGACUGGAAUUCCUGGUGUAGCGGUGAAAUGCGCAGAUAUCAGGAGGAACACCGGUGGCGAAGGCAGGUCUCUGGGCCGAUACUGACGCUGAGGAGCGAAAGCGUGGGGAGCAAACAGG